ACCCAUCAAAGCCCCAAACCUUCACUACCGCCUGCCGCUCGCCGAAAAUUGCUCACGAUGGCGAUCGGCGGCCAAUCACCUCCAAAAUUACACCCUCUACUCUUCUCCACCUCCACAUCCCAAAUCUCCUAGCACCUCAUCUCAAAUCCCACUAGAACGCCUCGAAUAUUAGAAACCCUAGCGCCGCCCUAACUUUCUCUGGUGGCGGCGCCUGACCCAAUCCCUUCCAAAUCAAUAAACAUAACCACCUUGACCCCUUCAUACCUAAUCCACCAUUGGUGUCCCUCAAAUAUGCCUAGAACCCUCAAAUAUCAAGUCUGAGGUUCGAGUUUUAUGUGUCUUCAAGGGUGAUUUAACAUUGGUUGGUUUAAAACGGGGGUCAGUCGAGUUCAAGUUUAAGUUGGUAAGUUUUUCUUUCAAUUUUCUGUCUGUUUUGUUAUCUCACCAUAUAUUACCAUUCUUUUCUUCACCUUUUCUUUAGGUCAUUUCUUCUGUUUGAACUUUCGCAAAGGUCCAAAUCCUGAACCUAGGUUUUCCCCUUUUGAUUGAUUCGUGUUCAUAUUUAUUCUAUCUGCCUUUUAGUUUUCUUUUCAAAUUUUAAAAACCAUUCUCUGAUUUUGUUUAAAUUACUCAUUCUCCAUGCCUAUUUGUUAUAUAAGUUGCUGGUAUUGUCUUUCCUAUUCUAGUCAUAUAAUUGGCUUAAUUAGAUGUUGUUUACAUUUGGUAAUCUACCGUAAUUCUAGUUUAUUUAUAUUAGUUUAAAAAUCAUUCGAGUUUUUAGUUUUGAAAGAAUUCAAGCUGUCUUCUUCUUCUUCUUCUUCUUCUCAGAAAUAGCUAAAAUUGAUUUUUUUGACUUGGUUUGGGAUUUGGGAUCAUUUCAGACCCGUUUUCAAAAGAAGCACUUUCAUUAUGGUUUAGGUAUUGAGUCAGAAUUGACCAAUGUGAUAGGUUGAGGUAAUUAGCAGGGGUGUAAAGGAUAGGUUAGGAAAUUGGCUUAGGGAAUCUUGGGUGUAACAGAUUAGGAAGCUUCCUGGAAGCUGAAAAAAGGACUUACUUAACAAACAAGUCAUAAGUUCAAGGAUUAAGUAGAAAAAAAUAAAAUUGGAGAAGGUUUAAUGGGGCAAAAACUGAAGUUUUUCUGCUGCCCUAGAACCUUACCUAUAAAGGCACCAAAACUUGACAUUCAAGUCAGACUUGAAGGAUAUUUUAGAAGAGAAAAAUAGAGAAAAAAAUCUGAGAAUAAAAAGAUAGCUAAGAAAUUUCAAUAAAAUUACCAUUCCAUUGAGUUUCUUCUGAGGUUUCUGAAGUUUUAAUUUCUAAUACAAUUCUGAGUCAUCUCAGGCUGAAAAUAAGUUGAAUUCUGGAUAUUUUAAAGCUGGUUUGAGUUUACUAUUUGGGAAAUAGUUUUAUAUUAUUGGGUUGAGUCAAUUUCUGCUGCUAUUUCUCCUGUUGAAUCACCGCUCCUGCUGUUUAUUGCUGUUGAUGUUUUCUCUUGAAUCUUCAAUUUGGUUUUUGAUUCAGUUUUUGCUGUAUUCAGGUAUGUACUGACUCCUGAAUAACAUGUGAAAUGCAAAUAUGAAAGUCAUGUAACCAAGCUUGAGGAGAAAUGAUAAUUGCUACGUGUUUCUUUGUCAAAUGACUGCUAGAGUUUAUUAUACUUUCUUCCUGUGUUCUUCUGUUUGGUUCGUCAUGUAUUGUCAUUUAUAUCAUUAAUGUUGUAUUUCAUUUUAAGGUUUGGAUUUGAGUUUCCUUGAAUGUAGUGAUUUGGGACUGUUUGGACCAUUAAUGUGUUAUUGAUUAACGACUAUGGC
This 1811-nucleotide long non-coding RNA is filed under the name Nicotiana benthamiana. Its description in RNAcentral is "long non-coding RNA (NBEN_LNC032541)". The record is from RNAcentral. Lineage: Eukaryota; Viridiplantae; Streptophyta; Magnoliopsida; Solanales; Solanaceae.